RNAcentral lists this ribosomal RNA (1209 nucleotides) under uncultured bacterium. RNAcentral's name for it is "partial 16S ribosomal RNA". It matches the Rfam family "Bacterial small subunit ribosomal RNA", at positions 108 to 1306 of the family's 1533-position model. The record is from RNAcentral.
GAGUAACGCGUGGGUAACCUACCCUUGAAUUGGGGAUAACUCCGCGAAAGCGGGGCUAAUACCGAAUAAUAUUUUGAGGUCUUCGGACCUUAAAAUCAAAGAUGGCCUCUGCAUGCAAGCUAUCGUUUAAGGAUGGGCCCGCGUACCAUUAGCUUGUUGGUAGGGUAAUGGCCUACCAAGGCAACGAUGGUUAGCUGGUCUGAGAGGAUGGCCAGCCACACUGGAACUGAGAUACGGUCCAGACUCCUACGGGAGGCAGCAGUGGGGAAUCUUGCGCAAUGGGGGAAACCCUGACGCAGCAACGCCGCGUGGGUGAUGAAGGCCUUCGGGUCGUAAAGCCCUGUCAGGUGGGAAGAAACAUGUUGAUGCCAAUACCAUCAGCACUUGACGGUACCACCGGAGGAAGCACCGGCUAACUCCGUGCCAGCAGCCGCGGUAAUACGGAGGGUGCAAGCGUUGUUCGGAAUUAUUGGGCGUAAAGCGCGUGUAGGCGGUCAUGUAAGUCAGAUGUGAAAGCCUUCCGCUUAACGGAAGAAGUGCAUUUGAAACUGCGUGACUGGAGUACGGGAGAGGAGAGUGGAAUUCCCGGUGUAGAGGUGAAAUUCGUAGAUAUCGGGAGGAACACCAGUGGCGAAGCGGCUUCCUGGCCUGCUCCUGACGCUAAGAGGCGAAAGCUAGGGGAGCGAACGGGAUUAGAAACCCCGGUAGUCCUAGCCGUAAACGAUGGACGCUGGGUGUGGGUGGUCCUAACCCCAUCCGUGCCGAAGCCAACGCGUUAAGCGUCCCGCCUGGGGAGUACGAUCGCAAGGUUAAAACUCAAAGGAAUUGACGGGGCCCCGCACAAGCAGCGGAGCGUGUGGUUUAAUUCGAUGCUACACGAAGAACCUUACCCGGGUUUGACAUGCAGGUAGUAGUGAAACGAAAGUGGAACGACCCUUCGGGGAGCCUGCACAGGUGCUGCAUGGCUGUCGUCAACUCGUGCCGUGAGGUGUUGGGUUAAGUCCCCUAACGAGCGCAACCCUCGCCGUCAGUUACAAGUGUCUGGCGGGACUGCCGGUCUCAAACCGGAGGAAGGUGGGGAUGACGUCAAGUCAGCAUGGCCUUUAUGCCUGGGGCUACACACACGCUACAAUGGCCAGUACAAUGGGUCGCCAACCCGCCGAGGGGGAGCCAAUCCCAUAAAGCUGGUCUCAGUUCGGAUUGGAGGCU